Molecule: long non-coding RNA, 950 nt
Filed under: Equus caballus (horse)
Lineage: Eukaryota; Metazoa; Chordata; Mammalia; Perissodactyla; Equidae
Description: lncRNA (ENSECAG00000048445.1)
Source: RNAcentral
CUCCAGGUGCCUGGGCUGCUGCCUGCUAGCCCCCUGGCUGUGUGCAAGGGGUGCCUUUCUGAGAGUUCUUUGGCAUGUUUUCUGGCCCCCAACAUUUUUAAAGCAAAUUUCUCUAUCAGUUGGCUCUUCCUCCUGCGUUUAUUUAUUCCUUCAACGAACUCGUUGAACAUGCACAAUGAUAGCACUGACGCCAACAUCUAUUGAGUGCUCAUUACAUUCGAGGAGCCAUGAUGAGCCCAAGAGAAGGGAGACUGAUAAAAAGGAUCAUCGAACUCCUACCUCUGGACAAGGCGCCGGGCUGGGCCCCCUGCAGGGAACUUUCGAGCCAGAUACGGGCCUGAGAUACGGGUUGCAUAGCACGCAUCCUGCCUAUUAAUAACUGUAAGUCCUUGUGCAAGCCAUGGCCCCUCCCGGAACCUCAACACUCCAGUUGUCUCAUAGGCAAAUUGUCCUGCCUGCCUUGCUGGGUUCCAAGGUGACCCAAAGAAUUUGCGGCUGUGAAACUACUCUGCAAACCCUCAAAUGCCAUCCACUUGGAAAGUGUGCUUGUGGAGGCCACGAAGCUGUUGACAGCUGCUGUUUGGCAUUGGCUGGGAGGAAGGUCAGAGCGUCCAGUGCUCAUGCAUGUGAACUCUGGGACUUCACAUGCUGGGAACAUCAUUGGGAGACACCAGCUGACCCCCCUUGUCCCCAGGGAGCAAAUGUGCCUGGCUCACUGUCCCCGUGGACGUGAGUGAAGCAUUUACACAACACAAGCAAGGCUUCCAGAGCAUCCUAGAGCAAUGUUAACUUUUUUCAGUGCUCCGUGAAUGUCGUCUUUACACCUGUUAUCUCAUUCAUUUAACCUUCCUAGUGACUCUAGGAAACAGGUACUGUUCCGAUUUUUAAGUCGAGGAACAUGAAGCCCAGAGAAGUAUAGAAAUGUGCAAAAGGAUAGAGGUAGUUAGGGC